RNAcentral lists this ribosomal RNA (459 nucleotides) under uncultured bacterium. Its description in RNAcentral is "SSU rRNA". It matches the Rfam family "Bacterial small subunit ribosomal RNA", at positions 26 to 518 of the family's 1533-position model. The record is from RNAcentral.
AGAACGAACGCUGGCGGCAUGCCUAACACAUGCAAGUCGAACGCUCUUGGGGCUUCGGUUCCAAGGGAGUGGCGCACGGGUGAGUAGCGCGUGGGAACCUGCCCUGGAGUGGGGGGAUAACCGAGGGAAACUUCGGCUAAUACCGCAUGCGCCCGGGAAACCGGGGAAAGAUUUAUCGCUCUAGGAGGGGCCCGCGUCGGAUUAGCUAGUUGGUGGGGUAACGGCCUACCAAGGCUUUGAUCCGUAGCUGGUCUGAGAGGAUGAUCAGCCACACUGGGACUGAGACACGGCCCAGACUCCUACGGGAGGCAGCAGUGGGGAAUAUUGGACAAUGGGCGCAAGCCUGAUCCAGCAAUGCCGCGUGAGUGAUGAAGGCCUUCGGGUUGUAAAGCUCUUUCGCACGCGAGGAUGAUGACGCUAGCGUGAGAAGAAGCCCGGCUAACUCGCGCCAGCAGCCGC